GAGUUUGAUCAUGGCUCAGAUUGAACGCUGGCGGCAGGCCUAACACAUGCAAGUCGAGCGGAAACGAUGGAAGCUUGCUUCUAGGCGUCGAGCGGCGGACGGGUGAGUAAUGCGCAGGAAUUUGCCCAGCAGUGGGGGAUAGCCCGGAGAAAUCCGGAUUAAUACCGCAUAUACCCUACGGGGGAAAGAGGGCCUCCUUGGAAGCUCUUGCUGUUGGAUGAGCCUGCGUCGGAUUAGCUAGUUGGUAGGGUAAAGGCCUACCAAGGCGACGAUCCGUAGCUGGUCUGAGAGGAUGAUCAGCCACACUGGAACUGAGACACGGUCCAGACUCCUACGGGAGGCAGCAGUGGGGAAUAUUGGACAAUGGGCGCAAGCCUGAUCCAGCCAUGCCGCGUGUGUGAAGAAGGCUCUAGGGUUGUAAAGCACUUUAAGUUGGGAGGAAAGGUUGAAGUUUAAUACGCUUUAGCUGUGACGUUACCAACAGAAUAAGCACCGGUUAACUCCGUGCCAGCAGUUGUGGUAAUACGGAGGGUGCAAGCGUUAAUCGGAAUUACUGGGCGUAAAGCGCGCGUAGGUGGUUAGAUAAGUUGGAUGUGAAAGUCCCGGGUUUAACCUGGGAACUGCAUUCAAAACUGCCUAGCUAGAGUAUGAUAGAGGGGGGUAGAAUUUUAGGUGUAGCGGUGAAAUGCGUAGAUAUAGGAAGGAACAUCAGUGGCGAAGGCGGCCUCCUGGAUCGAUACUGACGCUAAGGUGCGAAAGCGUGGGGAGCAAACAGGAUUAGAUACCCUGGUAGUCCACGCUGUAAACGAUGUCAACUAGCCGUUGGAAGGGUAAUCCUUUUAGUGGCGCAGCUAACGCUUUAAGUUGACCGCCUGGGGAGUACGGUCGCAAGAUUAAAACUCAAAUGAAUUGACGGGGGCCCGCACAAGCGGUGGAGCAUGUGGUUUAAUUCGACGCAACGCGAAGAACCUUACCUGGUCUUGACAUCCUGUGAACUUUCUAGAGAUAGAUUGGUGCCUUCGGGAACACAGUGACAGGUGCUGCAUGGCUGUCGUCAGCUCGUGUCGUGAGAUGUUGGGUUAAGUCCCGUAACGAGCGCAACCCUUGUCCCUAGUUGCCAUCAUAUAAUGGUGGGGACUCUAGAGACACUGCCUACGUAAGUAGUGAGGAAGGUGGGGACGACGUCAAGUCAUCAUGGCCCUUACGUCCUGGGCUUCACACGUGCUACAAUGGAUGGUACAAAGAGCAGCCACUCAGCGAUGAGGAGCGAAUCUCAAAAAACCAUUCUCAGUUCGGAUCGGAGUCUGCAACUCGACUCCGUGAAACUGGAAUCGCUAGUAAUCGCAUAUCAGCAAUGAUGCGGUGAAUACGUUCCCGGGCCUUGUACACACCGCCCGUCAAGCCAUGGAAGUUGGGAGAACCUAAAGUCGAUAACC
This 1436-nucleotide ribosomal RNA is filed under the name uncultured prokaryote. RNAcentral describes it as "partial 16S ribosomal RNA". It matches the Rfam family "Bacterial small subunit ribosomal RNA". The record is from RNAcentral.